UUAUCGGAGAGUUUGAUCCUGGCUCAGGACGAACGCUGGCGGCGUGCCUCAUACAUGCAAGUCGAGCGGACAGAUGGGAGCU
This 82-nucleotide ribosomal RNA is filed under the name Bacillus atrophaeus. RNAcentral describes it as "partial 16S ribosomal RNA". It matches the Rfam family "Bacterial small subunit ribosomal RNA", at positions 1 to 82 of the family's 1533-position model. The record is from RNAcentral. Lineage: Bacteria; Bacillati; Bacillota; Bacilli; Caryophanales; Bacillaceae.